GACGAACGCUGGCGGCGUGCCUAAUACAUGCAAGUAGAACGCACAGUUUAUACCGUAGCUUGCUACACCAUACACUGUGAGUUGCGAACGGGUGAGUAACGCGUAGGUAACCUGCCUGGUAGCGGGGGAUAACUAUUGGAAACGAUAGCUAAUACCGCAUAAUAUUAAUUAUUGCAUGAUAAUUGAUUGAAAGAUGCAAUUGCAUCACUACCAGAUGGACCUGCGUUGUAUUAGCUAGUAGGUGAGGUAACGGCUCACCUAGGCGACGAUACAUAGCCGACCUGAGAGGGUGAUCGGCCACACUGGGACUGAGACACGGCCCAGACUCCUACGGGAGGCAGCAGUAGGGAAUCUUCGGCAAUGGACGAAAGUCUGACCGAGCAACGCCGCGUGAGGGAAGAAGGGUUUCGGAUCGUAAAGCUCUGUUGUAAGAGAAGAACGGGUGUGAGAGUGGAAAGUUCACACUGUGACGGUAUCUUACCAGAAAGGGACGGCUAACUACGUG
This 505-nucleotide ribosomal RNA is filed under the name uncultured bacterium. Its description in RNAcentral is "partial 16S ribosomal RNA". It matches the Rfam family "Bacterial small subunit ribosomal RNA", at positions 28 to 507 of the family's 1533-position model. The record is from RNAcentral.